Non-coding RNA from Heligmosomoides polygyrus, 78 nucleotides. The record is from Rfam. Lineage: Eukaryota; Metazoa; Nematoda; Chromadorea; Rhabditida; Heligmosomidae.
GAAAUCUUGAUAACAACGCCAGGGCCUUUCAUAAGACCCAGUGGACAAUUUUUGCGGACCCUUGCGGAGGCAAGGGUG